UUUCUGGAGGAAGGUUCGUCCGCUCCAGGUUAGUCGGGAGCUAAGGUGAGGCCUAACGGCGUAGCCGAUGCACAGACGGUAGAGAUUCCGUCACCACCAAAAGAGUUAAACACAGGGACACAUAUGAAGUCUCGGAGCCGGGUGUUGGUUCCGGUAGCGAUCGAGGGAAGUUAGUACCGAAGUCCGGGAUGGAAGAUGGCGAGAAAAGCUGUGUGUAUUUCUGCGGUGCCCGUACCGCAAACCGACACAGGUAGGUAGGAAGAAGAUUCUAAGGCCAACGGGAGAAGGGUUGUUAAGGAACUCGGCAAAUUGACCCCGUAACUUCGGGAGAAGGGGUGCUCCAGAGAUGGAGCCGCAGAGAAUCGGCCCAAGCAACUGUUUACCAAAAACACAGGUUUGUGCUAAAUCGAAAGAUGACGUAUACGAGCUGACGCCUGCCCGGUGCUGGAAGGUUAAGAGGAGAUGUGCAAGCAUUGAAUCGAAGCCCCAGUGAACGGCGGCCGUAACUAUAACGGUCCUAAGGUAGCGAAAUUCCUUGUCAGGUAAGUUCUGACCCGCACGAAUGGCGUAACGAUUUGGGCACUGUCUCAACAGCCCGCCCGGCGAAAUUGUAGUACCGGUGAAGAUGCCGGUUACCCGCGACAAGACGGAAAGACCCCAUGGAGCUUUACUGUAGCCUAAUAUUGGGUUUCGAUGUUGCAUGCACAGGAUAGAUGGGACACUGGGAAGCAAGAGCUUUGGCUUUUGUGGAGUGGCCGUUGGGAUACCAUCCUUGCGAUAUUGGAAUUCUAACCUGCGCCUUUGAAUCAAGGCGGGGGACAUUGUUAGGUGGGCAGUUUGACUGGGGCGGUCGCCUCCUAAAGAGUAACGGAGGCGUUCAAAGGUUCGCUCAGCUUGAACGGAAAUCAAGCAAAAGAGUGCAAACGCAGAAGCGAGCCUAACUGCGAGACUGACGGGUCGAGCAGUAACGAAAGUUGGAGUUAGUGAUCCGGCGGUAUGUGAGUGGAAAUGCCGUCGCUCAACGGAUAAAAGCUACCCUGGGGAUAACAGGCUGAUCUCCCCCAAGAGUCCACAUCGACGGGGAGGUUUGGCACCUCGAUGUCGGCUCAUCGCAUCCUGGGGCUGUAUUCGGUCCCAAGGGUUUGGCUGUUCGCCAAUUAAAGCGGUACGCGAGCUGGGUUCAGAACGUCGUGAGACAGUUCGGUCCCUAUCUGUCGUGGGCGCAGGAUAUUUGAUGGGAGCUGUUCCUAGUACGAGAGGACCGGAGCGGACGUACCUCUGGCGCACCAGUUGUUCUGCCAAGGGCAUAGCUGGGCAACUAUGUACGGAUCGGAUAAACGCUGAAAGCAUCUAAGCGUGAAGCCGACCCAAAGAUAAGAUAUCCCAUUGUUUCAAACAAGUAAGACCCCUUGAAGACUACAAGGUUGAUAGGCACGAUGUGUAAGUGGAGUGAUCCAUUCAGCAAGCGUGUACUAAUAGGUCGAGGGCUUGACCA
This 1495-nucleotide ribosomal RNA is filed under the name human gut metagenome. RNAcentral's name for it is "bacterial LSU rRNA". It matches the Rfam family "Bacterial large subunit ribosomal RNA", at positions 1351 to 2925 of the family's 2925-position model. The record is from RNAcentral.